GAUAGUGUGGCCGAGUGGUCUAUGGCGNCUGGUUUUAGGCACCAGUCUCUUCGGAGGCAAGGGUUCGAAUCCCUUCACUGUCA
Molecule: transfer RNA, 83 nt
Filed under: Daphnia pulex (common water flea)
Lineage: Eukaryota; Metazoa; Arthropoda; Branchiopoda; Diplostraca; Daphniidae
Rfam family: tRNA
About the family: Transfer RNA (tRNA) molecules are approximately 80 nucleotides in length. Their secondary structure includes four short double-helical elements and three loops (D, anti-codon, and T loops).
Source: Rfam by way of RNAcentral